This 490-nucleotide ribosomal RNA is filed under the name uncultured bacterium. RNAcentral's name for it is "partial 16S ribosomal RNA". It matches the Rfam family "Bacterial small subunit ribosomal RNA", at positions 30 to 507 of the family's 1533-position model. The record is from RNAcentral.
AUUGAACGCUGGCGGCAGGCCUAACACAUGCAAGUCGAACGGUAACAGGAAGCAGCUUGCUGCUUUGCUGACGAGUGGCGGACGGGUGAGUAAUGUCUGGGAAACUGCCCGAUGGAGGGGGAUAACUACUGGAAACGGUAGCUAAUACCGCAUAACGUCGCAAGACCAAAGAGGGGGACCUUAGGGCCUCUUGCCAUCGGAUGUGCCCAGAUGGGAUUAGCUAGUAGGUGGGGUAACGGCUCACCUAGGCGACGAUCCCUAGCUGGUCUGAGAGGAUGACCAGCCACACUGGAACUGAGACACGGUCCAGACUCCUACGGGAGGCAGCAGUGGGGAAUAUUGCACAAUGGGCGCAAGCCUGAUGCAGCCAUGCCGCGUGUAAGAAGAAGGCCUUCGGGUUGUAAAGUACUUUCAGCGGGGAGGAAGGGAGUAAAGUUAAUACCUUUGCUCAUUGACGUUACCCGCAGAAGAAGCUCCGGCUAACUCCGUG